AAUGAACGUUGGCGGCAUGGAUUAGGCAUGCAAGUCGCGCGAUAAGAUUCCUUCGGGAAUCCGAAAGCGGCGAAAGGGAGAGUAACGCGUAGAUGAUCUACCCCGAGGACUGGGAUAGCGGCGGGAAACUGCCGGUAAUACCAGAUGAUGUCUCCGGACCAAAGGUGUGAUUCCGCCUUGGGAUGAAUCUGCGUCCUAUUAGCUAGUUGGUGAGGUAACGGCUCACCAAGGCGAAGAUGGGUACCGGGUGUGAGAGCAUGACCCGGCUCACUGGGACUGAGAUACUGCCCAGACACCUACGGGUGGCUGCAGUCGAGAAUCUUCCGCAAUGGGCGAAAGCCUGACGGAGCGAUGCCGCGUGCGGGAUGAAGGCCU
Molecule: ribosomal RNA, 375 nt
Filed under: uncultured bacterium
Lineage: Bacteria
Description: bacterial SSU rRNA
Rfam family: Bacterial small subunit ribosomal RNA
Source: RNAcentral